Molecule: long non-coding RNA, 1632 nt
Organism: Oreochromis niloticus (Nile tilapia)
Lineage: Eukaryota; Metazoa; Chordata; Actinopteri; Cichliformes; Cichlidae
Source: Ensembl
GUUUAGGUUGUAGUAAUAUAGCUUGUCCUUCUAAAGAACUAAGUUAAAUUCCACAGUUGAAUCAUAAGAAACAUUAUGUUACAUAUAAACCCUGCCAUAUGUUAGAUCUGGUCAUUUUGCUUAUUAGAAACUUUAUAUAUUCGAAGUUGACUUUUUAACAAGCAUGUAAUGAUUAUAUUUAAAUUAGGUGGUCUUUUUUUAAACACAUAUCUCUUUAGGCCUAAACUGACAGUGCCAAUACCACACAUUCAGACACAGUAGUAGAUGGUGUUUUUAAUACUAUAUGUGUUAGUCUAAUUUGGUUGUAUGGGGUCUACAUUGACCUUCUGUGUUGUAAGUUACAAUGAUUGCACAGCCAUUAAGGAUCAAAUCGGUUUCUGAAAAAUGUUCUGUUUUUUCUCCCUCUGCUUGCUUCUUACUGUCUUUGAGGCCGAUCGGGACCAGCACUCCUGCUGUUGGACAGAAAGACAUCAACUCAGUGACUUGAGAUAUGACUGCACUAUGCUGUUGCUGGUGACCACAGUUAAUUCUACAAGACAUGCUGUGACAACAGGAGAGAUGAGUCCUCCGUCACAGAUGGUGUGGUCAGUGAAGAUGGUCGCCUGCAGGUUCAAGCUCAUUGCAUCUCCAACCCACAUCCACUGCCACUGUACUUAAGGGAAGUUAAAGACUUUCUUCUGCACCUGCAUUUGGAUCACCUCGAUCCAUGACAGUCAUUCAGGCAGUAAUGCCUGGCCUGGAAACAAGCAUCCUUAAAAUAAUACAACAUUCCAGCUGCUGUGUUGAAAUGGAAAACAAAUGUGUUGUUUAAAUUAGAGACUGCACUUGUGACAGAACAAUAAAUAUUUUAUUUUGAUUAUAUAAGUAAUGUAAGUACAAAACAAACUUGUGGUAGGCCUAAACUUAUUUUCAGAAUAAUUACAUCUGAGACUUUGUUUCAUUGUAAGAUUAUAACAGUGAUGGCAAUAUAAUUGUUUGUUGUUCAGCAGAACAGUGUCCAGUAUGUUGGCUGUUAUACUUUGUUGUGUUUGAAAAUAAAAGCUGGGCUGAUUUUAACAUCAUUACAAAAAGUGUUGUUAAUUAUUUUUAAUCAUAUUCAGGUUACCACAAAUUGUUUUUUCAUGUAGUUGAACUUGAAAUGUUUGUCAGUAGGUAAACAAUUAGUAUUGUACAGUCAGAAAUAUCAAGUUAUUGUUAAUGCUGCAGACUUGCAAUGUAUAAGUUGUCCUAACAGUCAUCUUAAGUAAGCUUUACUUAGUUUUUUUGAGGCAACGAGUUUCCAUAUUUUUUUUGAGUUCUGGGAACUAAAUAGGUUUUUACUCCAUACUUAAAGUGAAUAAGUUGCCUUAACUUAGUCAUCUUAAGUAAACUUCACUCAAUUUUUUUGAGGCAACGAGUUUGCAUAGUUUUUUUGAGUUCUGUGACCUAAUUAGAUUUUAUAGUGCAGUCAAGAUUUUGGAGGCUGCGUGGACGUGAGGAUGUGUGAAAGCUCUUCUCACUCUCUGUCAAACCAGAAUCGUAUACGUGGACUGAAGAUCAGACUAAAGAUGGAUACAGGACAACAAACACGAUCUGAAAGAGUUUGGAGUAAAGGUCUAGUAUUGAUGCAAAGAAUCGUCUCUGUGGGUGCAA